Long non-coding RNA from Carassius gibelio (silver crucian carp), 1721 nucleotides. RefSeq lists it as uncharacterized. The record is from RefSeq and is a predicted model, not a curated record. Lineage: Eukaryota; Metazoa; Chordata; Actinopteri; Cypriniformes; Cyprinidae. The transcript has 2 exons.
GAGCGGAGCAGCAGUAAUGGCGAGAGCAGAGAUGAAGCUGGAUCUCACUGACACCAAACAUCAAACAUGAAGAAUCAGGUGUGACCCUUCCGCUGACGAUCGGAGAAGUGGAGGUUCUGCAGACACAGGAGAACACAAAUGGCGAUAAAACACAAAUCUCGCAUGUGUCGCAUCUAUUACGCGCGAAUUGCCUGUGCGCGAGCGGAGCGCGUUGACAGAGAAAAAGAAAAGUAUGGGAAGCCGUUUAAGACGAAACUCGCACUUGAAACUCGAAACUUGCGAUAAACAUUGAGACACUUGCGCAUACACGUGAAACACGAUAUAUCUGUGCAUAUAUAUGAAAGACAUGCGGUUACAUAGAAACUACAUAAGCCGCGCUUCUGCUUCCAAAUGAACUAAACUUCUGGUCAAUGAAAAUGUUUAUGCUCUCUCACACGCGAGAAUGUUAGAAAGUGCAGUCUUUGUGCGGGUACAACAGUACGUGGUCGAUUACAGCGUAAAUGCAAAGAGUGUCUAUUUAAUUAUAUGCACAGAUAGUGUUUCCCAUGUAUGCGCAAGUGUUUCAAAUCAAACGGCCUCCCAUACAAAAUAAUUGCGUUUAAAUUUCUGUCUCUUCAGCAUGUGUUCAUAAUGUACGUAUCUGAAGGCAUCUCCUUCAGUUCUUGCCGCGCGUGUUUUUCUGUCGUUCGUUCGUUUUGCGGCGCUGCUCCAUCAUCUGCCAUUGAUCAACAGACCCCGCCCACUUUUGACGCCGCUGGAAGUAUUUUUCCCGUUUAGUUUUUUUUAAACCAGACCCAAUGGAUCACAUCAUUACAAACUCUAAACUGAAGAAUAAAAGUAUUUGGAAAUGGGACAAAGGUGCAUAUGGAGUGCUUCAUAUGUUAAUGGGUGGAGCUAGUUUGGUAUGAGUUUUUCUUUUUGAUUGGUGGAGAUGUCUCUGCUGAAUCAUGGGAAAUGUAGUUUCUCAACAGGAAUUCCGCUGUUAAACAUGAUUAUUUAAAAAUGAGUUGAAAAAAUGGCUUCAACGCAAAUCCUAUCAAUUAAUAAUAAUCUCAGAGCUCACAGGAGGUCUGUUCUCAGCGAUUUUUAUUUUACUAAGUGAAUCAUAAAUAAUAAAUGUUUUUAUUACCUUAGAUUUAGCUAUUUCUAUCUAUAUACACCUCGGGUCUCCUUACAUGGAAGCGCCGUGGUGACGCAAUGAUCUGUAUAGGUUUCUUUUUCAGUCUAUGUAUAGGUAAAUAUUUAUAUGUAGUUUAUUCAAAAUCUGUCAGUAGGUUACUUGUGUAUAGGUUUAUUUACAUUUAUUCAUUUAGCUGACACAUUGGUGUCUCACAGUGGAUUUGAACCCGGGUCUCUCACACUAAAGGCAUGUGUAACGGCAUUCAGUUCCACUGUAUGUCACAAAUGUAGCGGAGUGAUAAUAAAGCUCAACUUGAACUUGAAAUCUCAUUGCUCUCUGCUGUCUUUACCGAACACAUCUUUACCCGUGUCGGCCACCGUAGCUUCUCUGAAGGGAGGAGAUAGCGGGGGACUGAGCCGUUGGUUGUGAUUCGCAACCUCACCGCUAGAUGCCGCUAGACCCAAACACUGCAACUUUAACAUAUUUAAAAAAUAUUUGUGGUUCAUAAAAAUGUUUAUGAAGAAACGUGUUUGUACUUUUGUACUUGUAGUGUUCUGUUUUUUAUACUUAUUUUAAAAAAAGUAAAAUAAAAAAAAAAUCA